RNAcentral lists this ribosomal RNA (468 nucleotides) under uncultured bacterium. RNAcentral's name for it is "partial 16S ribosomal RNA". It matches the Rfam family "Bacterial small subunit ribosomal RNA", at positions 28 to 507 of the family's 1533-position model. The record is from RNAcentral.
GACGAACGCUGGCGGCGUGCUUAACACAUGCAAGUCGAACGGAAAGGCCCUGCUUUUGUGGUGUUCUCGAGUGGCGAACGGGUGAGUAACACGUGAGUAACCUGCCCUUGACUUUGGUAUAACUUCAGGAAACUGGGGCUAAUACCGGAUAGGAUCUCCUGCUGCAUGGUGGGCGUUGGAAAGUUUCGGCGGUUGGGGAUGGACUCGCGGCUUAUCAGCUUGUUGGUGGGGUAGUGGCUUACCAAGGCUUUGACGGGUAGCCGGCCUGAGAGGGUGACCGGGCACAUGGGGACUGAGAUACGGACCAGACGCCUACGGGAGGCAGCAGUGGGGAAUAUUGCACAAUGGGCGGAAGCCUGAUGCAGCAACGCCGCGUGCGGGAUGACGGCCUUCGGGGUGUAAACCGCUUUCGCCUGUGACGAAGCGUGAGUGACGGUAAUGGGUAAAGAAGCACCGGCUAACUACGUG